CGCCGAAAGGGUCAAAUGUACUCGUAAUUUAAACGCGUAUUUUUGAUCGGACACCCGUUUAGGAAGCGCCUGCAGCUGUUUCAUAAGCGGCUGCAGCCGUAAAUGUGCAGGCGAAAGUUACACAUGAAUGUACGCGUUAGUUAACGCUUUCAGGCGUUAAAUAAACGCCUGUAUAUUUACACGUGCAAUUGCAGGCGUUAAAUAAACGCCUGUAUAUUUACACGUGCAAUUGCAGGCGUUAAAUAAACGCCUGUAUAUUUACACGUGCAAUUGCAGGCGUUAAAUAAACGCCACAUGCAAAUCACUGCCCACAAUUUCCCUAGCUCCUCCUGCAGUUAGCUGGGCUAGUGUGAUUGGAUUCUUCCCUGCAUUUUCAAGUACCAGCUCCUCCCCACUGUAGAAGCGGAAGAUUUCGAAACAAGUUUAGUCCAGCACAGUCAGAAGUUUGAAGGAAGAUGGCAAGAAGAAACUUUCUACGACACUGUAAGCAGACUCUUAAUGACUGCACUCGGCUUUUGUUAUCGGAUAACACUGGACACGACGACCUUCAGUCCACGUUGACAAGGAUGGAAACAAUGCAGCGAAGCCUAGAGUGGGCAAAGGGGUACGCUCUUAAAUGUUGCUUCAGCAGACGGCCUGAUAGCUGAAGUGUCCGAGCUCAUGCAGGAAAGUCGCACCCAUGGUCGGCAUGCACAACCAGGUGGGAACCAUUUCAGUGGGGCCAGUUCCGGUUACCAGGCUCCAUUGACUUGGACUGGAGCUAGAGGUGCUCCUCAUUAUCACAUCACCGGAGAGCAACUGAGGGGUCUGAUGAUAGAUGGCAGAUAUUCUCCACAUGUUCCAUUCUACACUCAAACCACAUCUAAGGCACUUUGCAUUAACCUGAGGGCAGCUGCCUUCCCAUCAAUGUCGCAGAGGCUGCACAGAAGGUACAGUGUUGCUGCUCUGAAUUCUUUAUGACACAUCGAUGGAAACUACAGACUAAAGGUGGAGGAUAGUCAUCCAUGGUGGCAUUGAUGGUUACAGCUUCCUUGUGUUUCUCCACGCUUUCAGCAACAAGUGCAGCAUUACUAAAUGCUGAGGCCAGACAGUCCGUCCAGGCUUAGAACAGGUUCUGGUAGAAGCUAGAUUUCUGUGAUUGCCACCUAUUGAAUUGGAUAACCAUGGACUGGAACAGAUAAUCAAUAUCUUCCUGCAGUAGUGAAUGUAAGUUACUGCUCAACAUUAAAUUAUAACGAGAAGAAGUGAAUGUAGCUUGUUUCAUAACAAGAUAGGUUGAUGGAGUGAUAUGGA
Molecule: long non-coding RNA, 1293 nt
Organism: Osmerus eperlanus (European smelt)
Lineage: Eukaryota; Metazoa; Chordata; Actinopteri; Osmeriformes; Osmeridae
Exons: 5
Source: RefSeq, a predicted model, not a curated record